CAAUAGCGUAUAUUAAAGUUGUUGCGGUUAAAAAGCUCGUAGUUGGAUUUCUGCCGAGGACGACCGGUCCGCCCUCUGGGUGAGUAUCUGGCUCGGCCUGGGCAUCUUCUUGGAGAACGUAGCUGCACUUGACUGUGUGGUGCGGUAUCCAGGACUUUUACUUUGAGGAAAUUAGAGUGUUUCAAGCAGGCUUACGCCUUGAAUACAUUAGCAUGGAAUAAUAAGAUAGGACCUCGGUUCUAUUUUGUUGGUUUCUAGAGCUGAGGUAAUGAUUAAUAGGGAUAGUUGGGGGCAUUCGUAUUUAACUGCCAGAGGUGAAAUUCUUGGAUUUGUUAAAGACGGACUACUGCGAAAGCAUUUGCCAAGGAUGUUUUCAUUG
This 379-nucleotide ribosomal RNA is filed under the name uncultured eukaryote. RNAcentral's name for it is "partial 18S ribosomal RNA". It matches the Rfam family "Eukaryotic small subunit ribosomal RNA", at positions 592 to 975 of the family's 1831-position model. The record is from RNAcentral.